CUGGGCAGAGGAUCCUCCUCCCAUCAUCACUGGCUCACUGAGCAGAGGAAAGGCUGCAGCAGCUGGACAGUGGUGGUGGGAACCUUAUGUGCUCCAGGAACUGCAGCAGAGAGCAGAUGGAGUGGAAUUUAGGAUGGAGUUGCACACCCAUGGGAACAGCAGGUCAUCUUGAGUGCCAUUACACAGCAGAGGAGAGGCAGACAGGAGUGACAGUGUAGAAAGGGGUCCCGUCUGUGGGAGACAGCUCCUUCCCGUGCGUGGUGCUGCAUGGGCAGAAAGCCCUGCCUGAGGGCUCACACUCUCCAGGAUAACCAGCAGCUCUGCAGGAGGUGAAACACAGCCCACCAAGCUUGUGGAGCCUGGCUGG
This is a long non-coding RNA of Pogoniulus pusillus (Red-fronted tinkerbird), 367 nucleotides long. RefSeq lists it as uncharacterized. The record is from RefSeq and is a predicted model, not a curated record. The transcript has 3 exons. NCBI's taxonomy places the organism in Eukaryota, Metazoa, Chordata, Aves, Piciformes, Lybiidae.